AGGGCAUCACUGAGCUAAAUCCCCAGCGCAAUAUAUCUUAAGAAUUUAGUCUUUAAUUUAUGGUAAUAACCAUACAUGAUCAAUGAUCUAUAUAAGAAACAUAUACACCAAAAUUAACUCUAAAGUUUAUUGGUAUAGGAGCUGUUGAAGCAAGCAAGGCUCUAAAAGUUUAUUAUGUGAUAGUCAUGCUGUACUUUAUAAGAAGAAAUGGGAUAUGAAAUGUAUCUGAUAGUUUAAAAAACAGUUGGACCACAGAAAGGCAAGCGAUCUCCAGGAAGCGCAACAAUGCUCCAAGUUUCUUCAUGCGUCGACAAACAGAAACCUUCUCGCUGAAACCUGGUUAUCUGUGCUCAGAGGUACCUGGCAGUGUAACAACAACAAAAAAAAAAAAAAAAAACACAAAAAACUUGGAGAGGUGGCAUUGCAUAGUAAGAAGAUGGCUUUUAAUACACAUUGCUGAAAUAGAAGACACAAAAACAACUCUACAAAGACUUCUGCACAAUAGAAGUGUCUCCUGGGGGAAUUCAGGUAAGUCCACAAACCAUCACCAAAGCAACUGAGAGGAUUCAGAGGCAGGGAGCAGCAAAAUAGAGAUUUGCCACAGGCAUUCAUAAAAUUAACUCAUUUCAAAGAGAACUACAUAGCUCCUGAAUUUUCAGCAUUUGUUUCUGUCUAAUAACCAUCAGAAACAGAAAGCGCUAACAAACUAAAAUGACAGAAUGCUAAGGGGCUAUGUAUGCUUGUACUGGCAGCAAUCUGCUGUCAGACUGAGAGUAACCAGCAGCCACAUCACCUGUGACACACCGGGAGACAGUUGUGUCACCAGCCCAACCCAUGUUCAUUAAAUCUCUACCGAUGCCAGGCCCCAGGUUACAAAAUCAGUCCCCACCCCACACACACAGAGUGUUCCUGCUCUCAGCUGAUGAUCUAGUAAAGAGAACAAUCAAUUAAUCAACAUAAGCAAAUGAAGACUUCAAUGUGCUGAUGCUAAGACAUCAGGCAUUUUGAACUAUAAAAC
This 1018-nucleotide long non-coding RNA is filed under the name Fukomys damarensis (Damara mole-rat). RNAcentral's name for it is "lncRNA (ENSFDAG00000031301.1)". The record is from RNAcentral. Lineage: Eukaryota; Metazoa; Chordata; Mammalia; Rodentia; Bathyergidae.